RNAcentral lists this ribosomal RNA (233 nucleotides) under uncultured bacterium. RNAcentral's name for it is "partial 16S ribosomal RNA". It matches the Rfam family "Bacterial small subunit ribosomal RNA", at positions 103 to 334 of the family's 1533-position model. The record is from RNAcentral.
CGGGUGAGUAACGCGUGAGGAACCUGCCUCAGAGAGGGGGACAACAGUUGGAAACGACUGCUAAUACCGCAUAAGCCCACGGCUCGGCAUCGAGCAGAGGGAAAAGGAGUGAUCCGCUUUGAGAUGGCCUCGCGUCCGAUUAGCUAGUUGGUGAGGUAACGGCCCACCAAGGCGACGAUCGGUAGCCGGACUGAGAGGUUGAACGGCCACAUUGGGACUGAGACACGGCCCAG